GUGUGUUUCCUUCUCUUUCCCUCUCUCGCUCUUCUGCGGGCGCACCGAUGCCGAAGCACUCCAAGUCCACCGCUUGCUCACACAGUGGUGGUGAUGUGUAACAGCAGAGCCAUCGCAUGAGUAAUACUCUUCUUAGAGGGAUUCACGGUUCUGAAGCCGUAAGAAACUGAGAGCAAUAACAGGUCUGUGAUGCCCUUAGAUGUUCUGGGCCGCACGCGCGCUACAAUGCCGGGCUCAGCAGGUAUUCAUCCUUCUCCGAGAGGAGUGGGUAACCCUCUGAAAGCCCCAUAAACAUUUCUAUCAAAGGAGGGAGAGUUGAGCGUGUGCGUUCGCGCGUGCGCGUUUCUUUCUCYCCCUCCAACAUGGCUUGCUUGGGCCUGGGGCUUGCAAUUCUUUCCCACAAASGAGGAAUGCCUAGUAGCGGCGGAUCACUGAGUUCGCUGUGACUCAGUCCCUGCCCUUUGUACACACCGCCCGUCGCUACUA
RNAcentral lists this ribosomal RNA (486 nucleotides) under Amphilochida sp. NZCR. Its description in RNAcentral is "partial small subunit ribosomal RNA". Lineage: Eukaryota; Metazoa; Arthropoda; Malacostraca; Amphipoda. The record is from RNAcentral.